RNAcentral lists this long non-coding RNA (281 nucleotides) under Mytilus galloprovincialis (Mediterranean mussel). Lineage: Eukaryota; Metazoa; Mollusca; Bivalvia; Mytilida; Mytilidae. The record is from RNAcentral.
AACGAAGUAAUAUAUUGUGUGUUUGUCGAUUGUGAAGUUUUUCAUUCAUAUAUCUCGUAUGAAUUAAAAUAAGUUUGUAAUUACUGAGAAUAUAAUGAUCAAAGGUACACGCCAGCACGAACAUCAGAGAUUUUAUUCAGUAUAAAGCAUUCGAGAGUCUCAUACGGAGACUACAUUGACGGCCGAUUACUAGAAUAAAUUUGUCGCCAGAGUAGACAUAAUAUGUGUUUAUUUACAAAUAAAGUUUUGCUCGAAGUUUGAAUUUGAUUAUCGAAACACCG